GACGAACCGUCCUAACGUUGUUCGGAAUCACUGGGCUUAAAGGGCGCGUAGGCGGCCUGCCAAGUCAGGGGUGAAAUCUUUCGGCUUAACCGGAAAACAGCUUCUGAUACUGGCGGGCUCGAGGGAGGUAGGGGCAGAUGGAACUUCGGGUGGAGCGGUGAAAUGUGUAGAUAUCCGAAGGAACGCCGGUGGCGAAAGCGAUCUGCUGGAUCUCAUCUGACGCUGAGGCGCGAAAGCCAGGGGAGCAAACAGG
Molecule: ribosomal RNA, 253 nt
Filed under: uncultured organism
Description: partial 16S ribosomal RNA
Rfam family: Bacterial small subunit ribosomal RNA
Source: RNAcentral